RNAcentral lists this ribosomal RNA (305 nucleotides) under uncultured bacterium. RNAcentral's name for it is "partial 16S ribosomal RNA". It matches the Rfam family "Bacterial small subunit ribosomal RNA", at positions 508 to 807 of the family's 1533-position model. The record is from RNAcentral.
ACAGCAGCCGCCGCGGUAAUACAGAGGAUGCAAGCGUUAUCCGGAAUGAUUGGGCGUAAAGCGUGCGCAGGCGGUUAUAUAAGUCAGAUGUGAAAUCCCCGGGCUCAACCUGGGAACUGCAUUUGAGACUGUAUGGCUAGAGUGUGUCAGAGGGGGGUAGAAUUCCACGUGUAGCAGUGAAAUGCGUAGAUAUGUGGAGGAAUACCGAUGGCGAAGGCAGCCCCCUGGGAUAACACUGACGCUCAUGCACGAGAGCGUGGGGAGCAAACAGGAUUAGAUACCCCCGUAGUCCCUGUCUCUUAUAC